Molecule: ribosomal RNA, 468 nt
Filed under: uncultured bacterium
Lineage: Bacteria
Description: partial 16S ribosomal RNA
Rfam family: Bacterial small subunit ribosomal RNA
Source: RNAcentral
GACGAACGCUGGCGGCGUGCUUAACACAUGCAAGUCGAACGGAAAGGCCCUGCUUUUGUGGGGUGCUCGAGUGGCGAACGGGUGAGUAACACGUGAGUAACCUGCCCUUGACUUUGGGAUAACUUCAGGAAACUGGGGCUAAUACCGGAUAGGAGCUCCUGCUGCAUGGUGGGGGUUGGAACGUUUCGGCGGUUGGGGAUGGACUCGCGGCUUAUCAGCUUGUUGGUGGGGUAGUGGCUUACCAAGGCUUUGACGGGUAGCCGGCCUGAGAGGGUGACCGGCCACAUGGGGACUGAGAUACGGCCCAGACUCCUACGGGAGGCAGCAGUGGGGAAUAUGGCACAAUGGGCGGAAGCCUGAUGCAGCAACGCCGCGUGCGGGAUGACGGCCUUCGGGUUGUAAACCGCUUUCGCCUGUGACGAAGCGUGAGUGACGGUAAUGGGUAAAGAAGCACCGGCUAACUACGUG